AGUAGUUCGCGAGGCAGCUAUGCUCAGCACAAGUGAAAGAUGAACAAGCACAAGCUCCGGAAGCGACUUUGCCGCUAGACAUGAGAGCUCUCUCCUCUCCAGUUUGAGGACCCUAACUUUUGGACAAUUAGGCCCUUGUCUGAUAUGAUGGUUCGAGCUGCCACACAUGAUGUCUGCUUCCUUCUCAAUAUCUAUGAGAAAACGAUGGAAAAGUUAAGCAAAGUAAAAACCAUACUCAUAGUUUGCAACUGUACAGAUAAAUGAAACAGUGAGCCUCCAUGACCGCCUUACUUCUGCUAAACCAGUUCUCCAGUCUUGGUGUUUCCAAAGGAUCCCAUGAUCCUCCUCAUGCAAACAAACACAGUUCUCAAUUGUCUCCACACCACCAGUGAAGUUUGUGAAAUGUGCAUCAAAAUAUUUUAUGUAGCCCAAGCACCCUCUUAUAGAAAUCCUUGCAUUGUAAAGAAAUAUAGCUUUUCAAUGACCAUUUCACCCUUUUUGUAUCCACCAUUUCUACAUUUCACAAGUUCCAGUGAAUAGGUGAUAGUUGUGAUUUUAAGGUGGUUGAAAAUGAAGGUAGGAGAAGGGGCACAUGAAUCUAAAUGAUGCAUACUUAAGUGGCACUUUUGCCUCUAUCAGAUUUUCUCCAUGUUUAUUUGAUGCUUGCCUUUGUUUCAAUGUUUUAUAUUUGGGUUGUGAUUCUUUUAGUGCAAAACUUGCUUUUUUAAUCAUCUAUAUUUGGUGGUGAUAUCUGCAGGAUAGGUUUUAGGAGAGGCUAAGAAAGCGUUUAGGACUUGAAGAGGCUACAAAGAACAAAGGUUUUGACCUUGGUAACGGAGGAAAGACACAAAAUGUUUCAGUACCGACUGUUGAAGGUGUAGCUAGAGGAACUAGCUAUGGAUGGGUGGAUGGAGGUUUGCGGGGUACAAAUCUUGGUGCUGGUGUGAUUGAUCCUACAAACGUACACUCAGAUAAUCUUUUGCACGUCUGGUCUAUGCCCAGCACAGCAAAUGUUAGCCAGCAAGAAGCGCCUCGGCCUCUAGAGAAAGUCAACCUUUUGGCAGCAAGAAAUGAAAGGGAAAGUUUUCAAAUUGCUUUACGCCCAAAGGUUUCAUGGGCAACUUCAGGUAUUGCAGGGUCUGUGCUGAUACAAUGCACCGAUCUCUGCUCCUCCUCAGGAGACAGGUUUGUUUGUUUAAAAUUUAAAACAUCUUUAUUAGGGAAGCUCAGUGGCUAUUUCAAUAGCUACCUUCAAGGAAUGGAUGAAACCGGAUCAGAUAGGUCUUUCAAAGUGCUGCAUUUUUUUAUUCUCUCACAGUUCGUGAAAAUGUUGGAUUCCUUUUAUAUGAAAAUUCAAGCUUACCCGAGGAUCGCAUUGGUGAAUUGGUGAAAGAAACUUUGGCUGCAGUAGGACUAAAGAGGUUGUUCCGACUGAGUACAAAUAUCUGUCAAAGAAAAUAUUGCCAACAAAUCAGGGUUCUGUCACGGAGUAUUUUCUUUCCAUUCGCCCAACUGAGAGGGCCUGGCCAGCGGUGUACUUUCUGUAUGAUCUCUCACCAAUUACAUUCACCAUCAAAGAGGAAAGAAGGAACUUCCUUCAUUUUAUAACUCGUCUUUGUGCAGUUCUUGGUGGCACAUUUGCCAUGACAGGUUAGCUUGCACCCAAUAGUUUU
Zea mays is the source of this 1673-nucleotide long non-coding RNA. RefSeq lists it as uncharacterized. The transcript is spliced from 8 exons. NCBI's taxonomy places the organism in Eukaryota, Viridiplantae, Streptophyta, Magnoliopsida, Poales, Poaceae. The record is from RefSeq and is a predicted model, not a curated record.